GCUUAAAAUCCAAAGGACUUGACGGUGCCCCAUCCCCCUAGAGGAGCCUGUUCUAUAAUCGAUAAUCCACGCUAUACCUCACCAUUUUUUGCCACACGCAGCCUGUAUACCUCCGUCGCAAGCUUGCCAUAUGAAUGUUAUAUAGCAGGCUCAAUGACCUACCACCGUCAAUACGUCAGGUCAAGGUGCAGCUUAUAAAAUGGGAAGCAAUGGGCUACAAUUUCUAGCUUAGAACAAACGAAUAAUCAUCUGAAACUAUGAUCAUGAAGGUGGAUCUAGUAGUAAAAGGGAAAGAUAGUGCCCCCUUUAAUAGUGGCCAUGGGACGCGUACAAACCGCCCGUCACCCUCCUCGAUAGCACAUCAUCAGUUAAUAACACAUUUUUCGCACUUUAGAGGAGGCAAGUCGUAACACGGUAAGCGUACUGGAAAGUGUGCUUGGACAGUCAAAAUGUAGCUUAGUAAAGCCUUCCGCUUACACCGGAAAGACAUUUGUUAAACUCAAAUCAUUUUGAGCUGUUAAUC
RNAcentral lists this ribosomal RNA (523 nucleotides) under Boophis majori. RNAcentral's name for it is "partial 12S ribosomal RNA". The stretch from base 1 to 452 matches the Rfam family "Bacterial small subunit ribosomal RNA", at positions 892 to 1533 of the family's 1533-position model. Lineage: Eukaryota; Metazoa; Chordata; Amphibia; Anura; Mantellidae. The record is from RNAcentral.